This 798-nucleotide transfer RNA is filed under the name Ursus maritimus (polar bear). RNAcentral's name for it is "lncRNA (ENSUMAG00000014102.1)". The stretch from base 161 to 233 matches the Rfam family "tRNA". Lineage: Eukaryota; Metazoa; Chordata; Mammalia; Carnivora; Ursidae. The record is from RNAcentral.
AUGGAGCCAAACCAAUCCUGGCCGUGGAGCUGGGAGCAGCAAGGGAACCAAUGGGGUAGCGAGACUAGCGGGCCGGCAGGCGGGCGGGUCGGAGGGCCCAGAGGAGACCCGUGAUGACGUGAGCCACGAUACGUUUCGGAGGCCAACGCGGGCCUGAGCUGGGGAAUUAGCUCAAAUGGUAGAGCGCUCGCUUAGCAUGUGAGAGGUAGCGGGAUCGAUGCCCGCAUUCUCCAAGGCUGAAUUUUACAGGGGGCUGGGGUCGUCUGUCCCGGUUCCUUUACCCGUAAGUGGUGACUAUUCCAGGAGUCGGCCUCCAGAUGCAAAGCGUCGUCCCGAAUCCCGAGUAAAUCGACAGAAGGGCGGAAGGUGGCAGCAAGGCUGAAAAGCUCAGGCCAGCCCCCAUGUUUCUCAGGGACAGAACCUUCCACACCUGCCACAUCCCUGUUCCCCAGCAUCCUGCUUGGCAGUGGACAUGACCAAGACCUGGCCACAUGGAUUCUGUUCAACUGCCCAGGGUAGCUGUGGACCCAAGGGCGUUGCUGGGCCUGGGGCAAGGAGGAGCUCCACAUCAAUCCUCGAUGAGGGUUGGAGGGCUGAGCGGAGCAAACGAUAGGGCCAGUGGGGAGGGAGACCCCACAGGACGCAGAGAUGGGUGACAGAGACUUGGGGAGUAGUGGGGGGGGGGGGGGGCUUGGAGGGAAGGUGGGAGCCCUUGAGUAGUGCCCAGCUGUCAGUACUAUUUCUCAACCAAAAGAAUGGUUGAAUAAAUGAGUGGAAAAAAAUUCUGUUUUUAUUAUU